This 397-nucleotide ribosomal RNA is filed under the name uncultured bacterium. RNAcentral describes it as "partial 16S ribosomal RNA". It matches the Rfam family "Bacterial small subunit ribosomal RNA", at positions 523 to 919 of the family's 1533-position model. The record is from RNAcentral.
AUACGUAGGUGGCGAGCGUUAUCCGGAUUUACUGGGUGUAAAGGGCGCGUAGGCGGGGGCGCAAGUCAGGUGUGAAAUCUAUGGGCUUAACCCAUAAACUGCACUUGAAACUGCAUCUCUUGAGUGCUGGAGAGGUAGAUGGAAUUCCUUGUGUAGCGGUGAAAUGCGUAGAUAUAAGGAAGAACACCAGUGGCGAAGGCGAUCUACUGGACAGUAACUGACGCUGAGGCGCGAAAGCGUGGGGAGCAAACAGGAUUAGAUACCCUGGUAGUCCACGCUGUAAACGAUGGAUACUAGGUGUGGGGGGACUGACCCCCUCCGUGCCGCAGUUAACACAAUAAGUAUUCCACCUGGGGAGUACGGCCGCAAGGUUGAAACUCAAAUGAAUUGACGGGGG